RNAcentral lists this ribosomal RNA (2904 nucleotides) under Escherichia coli. Its description in RNAcentral is "23S ribosomal RNA". It matches the Rfam family "Bacterial large subunit ribosomal RNA". The record is from RNAcentral. Lineage: Bacteria; Pseudomonadati; Pseudomonadota; Gammaproteobacteria; Enterobacterales; Enterobacteriaceae.
GGUUAAGCGACUAAGCGUACACGGUGGAUGCCCUGGCAGUCAGAGGCGAUGAAGGACGUGCUAAUCUGCGAUAAGCGUCGGUAAGGUGAUAUGAACCGUUAUAACCGGCGAUUUCCGAAUGGGGAAACCCAGUGUGUUUCGACACACUAUCAUUAACUGAAUCCAUAGGUUAAUGAGGCGAACCGGGGGAACUGAAACAUCUAAGUACCCCGAGGAAAAGAAAUCAACCGAGAUUCCCCCAGUAGCGGCGAGCGAACGGGGAGCAGCCCAGAGCCUGAAUCAGUGUGUGUGUUAGUGGAAGCGUCUGGAAAGGCGCGCGAUACAGGGUGACAGCCCCGUACACAAAAAUGCACAUGCUGUGAGCUCGAUGAGUAGGGCGGGACACGUGGUAUCCUGUCUGAAUAUGGGGGGACCAUCCUCCAAGGCUAAAUACUCCUGACUGACCGAUAGUGAACCAGUACCGUGAGGGAAAGGCGAAAAGAACCCCGGCGAGGGGAGUGAAAAAGAACCUGAAACCGUGUACGUACAAGCAGUGGGAGCACGCUUAGGCGUGUGACUGCGUACCUUUUGUAUAAUGGGUCAGCGACUUAUAUUCUGUAGCAAGGUUAACCGAAUAGGGGAGCCGAAGGGAAACCGAGUCUUAACUGGGCGUUAAGUUGCAGGGUAUAGACCCGAAACCCGGUGAUCUAGCCAUGGGCAGGUUGAAGGUUGGGUAACACUAACUGGAGGACCGAACCGACUAAUGUUGAAAAAUUAGCGGAUGACUUGUGGCUGGGGGUGAAAGGCCAAUCAAACCGGGAGAUAGCUGGUUCUCCCCGAAAGCUAUUUAGGUAGCGCCUCGUGAAUUCAUCUCCGGGGGUAGAGCACUGUUUCGGCAAGGGGGUCAUCCCGACUUACCAACCCGAUGCAAACUGCGAAUACCGGAGAAUGUUAUCACGGGAGACACACGGCGGGUGCUAACGUCCGUCGUGAAGAGGGAAACAACCCAGACCGCCAGCUAAGGUCCCAAAGUCAUGGUUAAGUGGGAAACGAUGUGGGAAGGCCCAGACAGCCAGGAUGUUGGCUUAGAAGCAGCCAUCAUUUAAAGAAAGCGUAAUAGCUCACUGGUCGAGUCGGCCUGCGCGGAAGAUGUAACGGGGCUAAACCAUGCACCGAAGCUGCGGCAGCGACGCUUAUGCGUUGUUGGGUAGGGGAGCGUUCUGUAAGCCUGUGAAGGUGUACUGUGAGGUAUGCUGGAGGUAUCAGAAGUGCGAAUGCUGACAUAAGUAACGAUAAAGCGGGUGAAAAGCCCGCUCGCCGGAAGACCAAGGGUUCCUGUCCAACGUUAAUCGGGGCAGGGUGAGUCGACCCCUAAGGCGAGGCCGAAAGGCGUAGUCGAUGGGAAACAGGUUAAUAUUCCUGUACUUGGUGUUACUGCGAAGGGGGGACGGAGAAGGCUAUGUUGGCCGGGCGACGGUUGUCCCGGUUUAAGCGUGUAGGCUGGUUUUCCAGGCAAAUCCGGAAAAUCAAGGCUGAGGCGUGAUGACGAGGCACUACGGUGCUGAAGCAACAAAUGCCCUGCUUCCAGGAAAAGCCUCUAAGCAUCAGGUAACAUCAAAUCGUACCCCAAACCGACACAGGUGGUCAGGUAGAGAAUACCAAGGCGCUUGAGAGAACUCGGGUGAAGGAACUAGGCAAAAUGGUGCCGUAACUUCGGGAGAAGGCACGCUGAUAUGUAGGUGAAGUCCCUCGCGGAUGGAGCUGAAAUCAGUCGAAGAUACCAGCUGGCUGCAACUGUUUAUUAAAAACACAGCACUGUGCAAACACGAAAGUGGACGUAUACGGUGUGACGCCUGCCCGGUGCCGGAAGGUUAAUUGAUGGGGUUAGCGCAAGCGAAGCUCUUGAUCGAAGCCCCGGUAAACGGCGGCCGUAACUAUAACGGUCCUAAGGUAGCGAAAUUCCUUGUCGGGUAAGUUCCGACCUGCACGAAUGGCGUAAUGAUGGCCAGGCUGUCUCCACCCGAGACUCAGUGAAAUUGAACUCGCUGUGAAGAUGCAGUGUACCCGCGGCAAGACGGAAAGACCCCGUGAACCUUUACUAUAGCUUGACACUGAACAUUGAGCCUUGAUGUGUAGGAUAGGUGGGAGGCUUAGAAGUGUGGACGCCAGUCUGCAUGGAGCCGACCUUGAAAUACCACCCUUUAAUGUUUGAUGUUCUAACGUUGACCCGUAAUCCGGGUUGCGGACAGUGUCUGGUGGGUAGUUUGACUGGGGCGGUCUCCUCCUAAAGAGUAACGGAGGAGCACGAAGGUUGGCUAAUCCUGGUCGGACAUCAGGAGGUUAGUGCAAUGGCAUAAGCCAGCUUGACUGCGAGCGUGACGGCGCGAGCAGGUGCGAAAGCAGGUCAUAGUGAUCCGGUGGUUCUGAAUGGAAGGGCCAUCGCUCAACGGAUAAAAGGUACUCCGGGGAUAACAGGCUGAUACCGCCCAAGAGUUCAUAUCGACGGCGGUGUUUGGCACCUCGAUGUCGGCUCAUCACAUCCUGGGGCUGAAGUAGGUCCCAAGGGUAUGGCUGUUCGCCAUUUAAAGUGGUACGCGAGCUGGGUUUAGAACGUCGUGAGACAGUUCGGUCCCUAUCUGCCGUGGGCGCUGGAGAACUGAGGGGGGCUGCUCCUAGUACGAGAGGACCGGAGUGGACGCAUCACUGGUGUUCGGGUUGUCAUGCCAAUGGCACUGCCCGGUAGCUAAAUGCGGAAGAGAUAAGUGCUGAAAGCAUCUAAGCACGAAACUUGCCCCGAGAUGAGUUCUCCCUGACUCCUUGAGAGUCCUGAAGGAACGUUGAAGACGACGACGUUGAUAGGCCGGGUGUGUAAGCGCAGCGAUGCGUUGAGCUAACCGGUACUAAUGAACCGUGAGGCUUAACCUU